GCUCUUGCCCCAGUUUUUGUUGGUGGAAUAGACCCUACGGGAGCCCCGUGAAGGCUAAUUUCUCUGUCCGGCUAUCCCCCCUAUGUCACCAAUUGUUGCAACGAGGGUGACGUCAUUGAGGCCCUCAAGGACAUGCUUAGCAAAGGUAUGAGAAAAUGUCGCCAGUUCUAUAAAGUCAAGGGCUGGAGAGUCGAAGAGCGCACUUUGGGACUGAAAAAGUUCCACCCUUCAUCAAUGC
RNAcentral lists this long non-coding RNA (238 nucleotides) under Nicotiana benthamiana. RNAcentral's name for it is "long non-coding RNA (NBEN_LNC030578)". Lineage: Eukaryota; Viridiplantae; Streptophyta; Magnoliopsida; Solanales; Solanaceae. The record is from RNAcentral.